Molecule: ribosomal RNA, 1107 nt
Filed under: Escherichia coli
Lineage: Bacteria; Pseudomonadati; Pseudomonadota; Gammaproteobacteria; Enterobacterales; Enterobacteriaceae
Description: partial 23S ribosomal RNA
Rfam family: Bacterial large subunit ribosomal RNA
Source: RNAcentral
GAGGCGAUGAAGGACGUGCUAAUCUGCGAUAAGCGUCGGUAAGGUGAUAUGAACCGUUAUAACCGGCGAUUUCCGAAUGGGGAAACCCAGUGUGUUUCGACACACUAUCAUUAACUGAAUCCAUAGGUUAAUGAGGCGAACCGGGGGAACUGAAACAUCUAAGUACCCCGAGGAAAAGAAAUCAACCGAGAUUCCCCCAGUAGCGGCGAGCGAACGGGGAGCAGCCCAGAGCCUGAAUCAGUGUGUGUGUUAGUGGAAGCGUCUGGAAAGGCGCGCGAUACAGGGUGACAGCCCCGUACACAAAAAUGCACAUACUGUGAGCUCGAUGAGUAGGGCGGGACACGUGGUAUCCUGUCUGAAUAUGGGGGGACCAUCCUCCAAGGCUAAAUACUCCUGACUGACCGAUAGUGAACCAGUACCGUGAGGGAAAGGCGAAAAGAACCCCGGCGAGGGGAGUGAAAAAGAACCUGAAACCGUGUACGUACAAGCAGUGGGAGCACGCUUAGGCGUGUGACUGCGUACCUUUUGUAUAAUGGGUCAGCGACUUAUAUUCUGUAGCAAGGUUAACCGAAUAGGGGAGCCGAAGGGAAACCGAGUCUUAACUGGGCGUUAAGUUGCAGGGUAUAGACCCGAAACCCGGUGAUCUAGCCAUGGGCAGGUUGAAGGUUGGGUAACACUAACUGGAGGACCGAACCGACUAAUGUUGAAAAAUUAGCGGAUGACUUGUGGCUGGGGGUGAAAGGCCAAUCAAACCGGGAGAUAGCUGGUUCUCCCCGAAAGCUAUUUAGGUAGCGCCUCGUGAAUUCAUCUCCGGGGGUAGAGCACUGUUUCGGCAAGGGGGUCAUCCCGACUUACCAACCCGAUGCAAACUGCGAAUACCGGAGAAUGUUAUCACGGGAGACACACGGCGGGUGCUAACGUCCGUCGUGAAGAGGGAAACAACCCAGACCGCCAGCUAAGGUCCCAAAGUCAUGGUUAAGUGGGAAACGAUGUGGGAAGGCCCAGACAGCCAGGAUGUUGGCUUAGAAGCAGCCAUCAUUUAAAGAAAGCGUAAUAGCUCACUGGUCGAGUCGGCCUGCGCGGAAGAUGUAACGGGGCUAAACCAUG